AACAGGAUUAGAUACCCUGGUAGUCCACGCCCUAAACGAUGUCUACUAGUUGUCGGGUUUUAAUUAACUUGGUAACGCAGCUAACGCGUGAAGUAGACCGCCUGGGGAGUACGGUCGCAAGAUUAAAACUCAAAGGAAUUGACGGGGACCCGCACAAGCGGUGGAUGAUGUGGAUUAAUUCGAUGCAACGCGAAAAACCUUACCUACCCUUGACAUGGAAGGAAUCCUGGAGAGAUUUGGGAGUGCCCGAAAGGGAACCUUCACACAGGUGCUGCAUGGCUGUCGUCAGCUCGUGUCGUGAGAUGUUGGGUUAAGUCCCGCAACGAGCGCAACCCUUGUCAUUAGUUGCUACGCAAGAGCACUCUAAUGAGACUGCCGGUGACAAACCGGAGGAAGGUGGGGAUGACGUCAAGUCCUCAUGGCCCUUAUGGGUAGGGCUUCACACGUCAUACAAUGGUACAUACAGAGGGCCGCCAACCCGCGAGGGGGAGCUAAUCCCAGAAAGUGUAUCGUAGUCCGGAUUGUAGUCUGCAACUCGACUACAUGAAGUUGGAAUCGCUAGUAAUCGCGGAUCAGCAUGUCGCGGUGAAUACGUUCCCGGGUCUUGUACACACCGCCCGUCACACCAUGGGAGCGGGUUUUACCAGAAGUAGGUAGCUUAACCGCAAGGAGGGCGCUUACCACGGUAGGAUUCGUGACUGGGGUGAAGUCGUAACAAGGUAACC
RNAcentral lists this ribosomal RNA (725 nucleotides) under uncultured bacterium. RNAcentral describes it as "bacterial SSU rRNA". It matches the Rfam family "Bacterial small subunit ribosomal RNA", at positions 771 to 1501 of the family's 1533-position model. The record is from RNAcentral.